Molecule: long non-coding RNA, 605 nt
Organism: Eublepharis macularius
Lineage: Eukaryota; Metazoa; Chordata; Lepidosauria; Squamata; Eublepharidae
Exons: 2
Source: RefSeq, a predicted model, not a curated record
AGCCGGGAAUCCUGCUGGAUCCGGGAUGCUCGCACUUUCGAGGACUCCGAUGGCCACAGGUUAUUGGAACCAUGCUGAAAAGGAGGGGAAGAGGAGAGAGAACAGACGCAACUACAUUUGACCCAUCUGAGAGAGGUACGAAACGCAGACCAUAAACUCAACAAUCCAGGGCUAUAUGCUCAUCACUGGCAGAACGCAGACCAGAGACAAAAUUUGCAGGCCUGAUGAACGAAGAACAAUGGCGGUUCGAAGAGCGGGGAAAGCCUUUAACAGGCGGGGGGGGGGGUCUUUUUGCUAAAAAAAAGACUCAGCCCUGUCGGUGGGUGUGAACUGGCCUCCUCUGGACUAUCGACGGGAUACAAGCUGGAAAGCAAACGCAGCAAUACAAACAAGACACAGCACGAUGGCCCAGGCUUGCCUGGGUACACAACACACACUUUUUCAAAUUCACGAAGCAGGAGAGAUACGCAUAACGACGUAAAACAAAAAGCCAAAGCAGGAUGCAAAUAAUCAAAGUGGAGCCCCACAAUUCAGGAAAAGGUUAUUAUUAUGCCCAACGGUACAAAAGACUUGUAUUGAAAUAAAGUGAACAAGCGCUCAAUAAA